ACAUACUAUGUGUACAAAAAUGGGAACAAUGCAGAGAAGAUUGGCAUCGACUCUGUGCAAAGAUGACAUGCACAUUGGGAAGUGCUCCCAAACUUUU
This is a small nuclear RNA of Otolemur garnettii (small-eared galago), 97 nucleotides long. Lineage: Eukaryota; Metazoa; Chordata; Mammalia; Primates; Galagidae. The record is from Ensembl.